RNAcentral lists this ribosomal RNA (464 nucleotides) under uncultured bacterium. RNAcentral's name for it is "partial 16S ribosomal RNA". It matches the Rfam family "Bacterial small subunit ribosomal RNA", at positions 339 to 795 of the family's 1533-position model. The record is from RNAcentral.
CUACGGGGGGCAGCAGUGGGGAAUAUUGCACAAUGGGCGCAAGCCUGAUGCAGCCAUGCCGCGUGUAUGAAGAAGGCCUUCGGGUUGUAAAGUACUUUCAGCGGGGAGGAAGGGAGUAAAGUUAAUACCUUUGCUCAUUGACGUUACCCGCAGAAGAAGCACCGGCUAACUCCGUGCCAGCAGCCGCGGUAAUACGGAGGGUGCAAGCGUUAAUCGGAAUUACUGGGCGUAAAGCGCACGCAGGCGGUUUGUUAAGUCAGAUGUGAAAUCCCCGGGCUCAACCUGGGAACUGCAUCUGAUACUGGCAAGCUUGAGUCUCGUAGAGGGGAGUAGAAUUCCAGGUGUAGCGGUGAAAUGCGUAGAGAUCUGGAGGAAUACCGGUGGCGAAGGCGGCCCCCUGGACGAAGACUGACGCUCAGGUGCGAAAGCGUGGGGGGCAAACAGGAUUAGAUACCCCUGUAGUC